Molecule: long non-coding RNA, 1168 nt
Filed under: Monodelphis domestica (gray short-tailed opossum)
Lineage: Eukaryota; Metazoa; Chordata; Mammalia; Didelphimorphia; Didelphidae
Description: lncRNA (ENSMODG00000037959.1)
Source: RNAcentral
CAUCCACAUCUCACAUGAGAACCCUGAAAAUCCUAGUGAGCCUCCUUGGCCACAGAGCUGAGCGCAGCCCAGGCUGUCCCCGCCACCAAUCCCAACCUGUUUGGACCUCACUUAGUGACAGAGUCCCUGGGGCCCACAAACAUUUAUUCCUCACCGGGCGGGUUCCAGAAAGGGACAGUCACACCUGUGGCCGUGCCCUGACUGCCAGUCACCGUGGGAACCCGGGCAGCGGCAGGGCAGGCCCUAGGAGGAUGCUUGAGGAAUUGGGUCAUCGGAGCGGAGAGGAUUUCAGCUCUGUGACUCCUCUGGAACACACAGGCUGGGAAUGGCCGCAUGUGACCCAUCAUUUGACUAACAGUAUGUGUUGCAUAGUGGAAUAAGGCCCCGAGUUCAAGUUCUGACUCAGCGUCUCACCUGCUGCAUCAUCUUACACACAUCCCUGCCCCACGCUGGGCUUCUGUCUCCUCCUUUUGAAAAGAGGGGGUUAGACUGCGUGGCAGCUGAGCCCCCUUCCAGCUUCAGUCAGUCUCUAAGGGUCUCAAGACAUCUCUCUCUGCCUCUGUCUCUGAGUGUCUCUGUGGCUAUCUCUUCCAUCUGUCUCUCUGUCUCUAUCUCCUCUGUCUCUGUCUCUGUCUCUCUGUCUCUAUCUCUCUCUGUCUCUGUCUGUCUCCUCUCUGUCUCUGUCUGUCUUCUCCGUCUCUGUCUGUCUCCUCUGUCUCUGUCUCUGUCUCUCUGUCUCUGUUUGUCUCCUCUGUCUCUGUCUCUGUCUCUGUGGCUAUCUCUUCUGUCUGUCUCGAACUAUCUCCUCUGUCUCUGUCUCUGUCUCUCUGUCUCUUUCUCUCUCUGUCUCUGUCUGUCUCCUCUGUCUCUCUGUCUCUGUCUGUCUCCUCUGUCUCUGUCUCUGUCUCUGUCUCUGUCUCUGUGGCUAUCUCUUCUGUCUGUCUCUAACUAUCUCCUCUGUCUCUGUCUGCCUCCUCUGUCUCUCUGUCUUUCUAUCUCCUUUGUCUGUCUUUUCCUCUCUAACUCGGUCUCCUCUAUGUCUGUCUCUCUGUCUCUUUCCUAUCUCCUCUGUCUCUGUCUCUCUAUCUCUGUCUCUUUCUAUCUCCUCUGUCUCUGUCUGUCUCUGCCUCCCCAUCUGCUCUGACUACUGACCUGUAACUUCCUUUAA